UUCGGACUGGAGUCUGNAACCCGACUCCACGAAGUUGGAUUCGCUAGUAAUCGCGCAUCAGCCAUGGCGCGGUGAAUACGUUCCCGGGCCUUGUACACACCGCCCGUCAAGCCAUGGGAGCCGGGGGCGCCUGAAGUCCGGGACCGCGAGGACCGGCCUAGGGCGAAACUGGUAACUGGGGCUAAGUCGUAACAAGGUAUC
This 201-nucleotide ribosomal RNA is filed under the name uncultured bacterium. RNAcentral's name for it is "partial 16S ribosomal RNA". It matches the Rfam family "Bacterial small subunit ribosomal RNA", at positions 1292 to 1500 of the family's 1533-position model. The record is from RNAcentral.